RNAcentral lists this long non-coding RNA (1765 nucleotides) under Pan troglodytes (chimpanzee). RNAcentral describes it as "lincRNA". The record is from RNAcentral. Lineage: Eukaryota; Metazoa; Chordata; Mammalia; Primates; Hominidae.
CGGAUGUCUCCUAGAGAGAAAGGGAUGGGAGAGUCCUCUGUGGAGUGGCUUCUGUUCCCUACAUCCCAGAGAGGCUCAGCUUUUCUGGCCGAUGGAGUGCAGUUUUAUUUGUUUGAGAAUAUGUUUUGUUUUCUUCCUUUUUCUCGUUCUUGCCUACCCUCAAAACAUGGGAAGAAAAGCUGUCUGACUCAAACAGCCAGCAGUCUGGUCCGGGUCCCCUAAGAUGGAGAGGCGCCAUUUCCCAGCAGGCCAAGAAAUGCCCCGGGAGCUCCAAGGGUUCUGUGGGUCCCGGGAUGAGAGGCUGACACAGCCAAGAAGACCCAGGGUGAGGCUGAGCGGAGGCUGAGGCGGCAUACCUGGCCGCCCACACUGCCAUCCGUCCUAGCGCUCUGUGCAGAGCACGGCUGAAAACUCCCCAAAUAUCUUUGGAAAUGAAGAACACUGGGUUGGCACCCGGCAAUUUGGGACAGCAGUUUUUCUGGAGCGCACAGCUUGGGAAUAUGCCUGAAGAAAUCUUUCAUUCCUAGAGCGUUGGUGGAUAAAUGGUACUUAUUUGUUUAACCUCAAAUCAAGCCGCAGCCCCCAUUUCUGGGGCUGCUUUGCGAGGGUUGUUUUAAAAUAGCUGAACAAGCUGAAAAUCAUGGGUCUAGGUUGCUGGAAUGGCUUUGCAGAGAGCAGCCGGACUUAGGAAGUUCUUUAAGUUUCCAUAGAAUGUGACUGGCAGUGGUUGGGGGUUGGGGUCGGGGGUAGGGGGAGGGAGGUGAGCUGUCAGAGAGGAGCAAAGCGUGGGCCCUUCUUCUAGAAGGGUCUGUAUUGGCUGAACAAUCUCUGCAGUGGAUUCAACCUGGUCUGGUCCCCUUGGGGGUUUGGGGUGGGGUGUUAUCCUGGAGGACUCCUUCCUGAGGUCUGCUGCAGGUGGCUUUGAAUUCAGCAGAGUGAAGUUCCUCGGUUAUUCCUGUCUGACUGGGGUCAAUUUCCUCUUUUAUUAACGGAACAGCUCUUUCCUCUGGAGAACCUAUUUCAUGGAUUUAGGUAGGACUGACUCGGUAGUGUACAUAACCGUUUAAUGGCCAGCUGGGGGCAGGCGGAGGGGACAGGGAGGAAAGCCUUGAUUUGUAGCAUUUGCCAAUUUCCAUGGUGUAAAUACUCCCCCACUACCAGCUUCAAGCUACAGACAUAACAUCACUGAGACGUCACUGACCUUGGACUCGGGAACAGAUGAGCACACCCAGCUCUCACAAACACAUCCCCGGUGCUGAUUUUACCCCAUCCAGGGCUGGGCACAUGACCCAAAGCUGCCCUGUGGGAGUUCCUCAGGGCCAUCAGAGGAGACUGCUCCUUUUCUUAGGCAUCGCUAAAUAGAAUGUUAGUUGGGGGCUGCCAGCAGCCAUCUUGCCAGCUCUAGAGAGAGAAUUUGGUUGAGAGGGGGAGAAAGGGCACCCAUGACAUCCUCUGAACCCCUGAAGCCAGCCAUACCUGAAGCUGGUGUAUUCCUGGACUUUCCAACUACACACAUCUCUAGCCCCUCUUCUUUGCCUAAGUAGUGUGGGCUGAGUUUCUGCCACCUGCCAAUAAAAUGCCAAGAAUAAAACAAAUGGGUCACCCAUUCAAGGAAGCCAACCUAAUAGAUCUGGCUUUAUCUUGAUUGUGGUGGUUUCCCAGGCAUAUGCAACUGGUAACAUUCACUAAGUUGUACACUUUCCGUUACUGCAGCUUCUUGUAAGUAAAUUCUAGCUCAAUAAAACUGUUAAACAUAUAAAAAACA